RNAcentral lists this ribosomal RNA (447 nucleotides) under uncultured bacterium. Its description in RNAcentral is "bacterial SSU rRNA". It matches the Rfam family "Bacterial small subunit ribosomal RNA", at positions 329 to 793 of the family's 1533-position model. The record is from RNAcentral.
CCCCAGACUCCUACGGGAGGCAGCAGUGGGGAAUAUUGCACAAUGGGGGAAACCCUGAUGCAGCGACGCCGCGUGAGUGAAGAAGUAUUUCGGUAUGUAAAGCUCUAUCAGCAGGGAAGAAAAUGACGGUACCUGACUAAGAAGCCCCGGCUAACUACGUGCCAGCAGCCGCGGUAAUACGUAGGGGGCAAGCGUUAUCCGGAUUUACUGGGUGUAAAGGGAGCGUAGACGGCAUGGCAAGUCAGAUGUGAAAGCCCGGGGCUCAACCCCGGGACUGCAUUUGAAACUGUCAGGCUGGAGUGCAGGAGAGGUAAGUGGAAUUCCUAGUGUAGCGGUGAAAUGCGUAGAUAUUAGGAGGAACACCAGUGGCGAAGGCGGCUUACUGGACUGUAACUGACGUUGAGGCUCGAAAGCGUGGGGAGCAAACAGGAUUAGAUACCCGCGUAC